AUUGAACGCUGGCGGCAUGCCUUACACAUGCAAGUCGAACGGUAACGCGGGGCAACCUGGCGACGAGUGGCGAACGGGUGAGUAAUGCAUCGGAACGUGCCCAGUAGUGGGGAGUAGCCCGGCGAAAGACCGGAUUAAUACCGCAUACGACCUACGGGUGAAAGCGGGGACCGGUAAGGCCUCGCGCUAUUGGAGCGGCCGAUGUCAGAUUAGGUAGUUGGUGGGGUAAAGGCCUACCAAGCCUUCGAUCUGUAGCUGGUCUGAGAGGACGACCAGCCACACUGGGACGUGAGACACGGCCCAGACUCCUACGGGAGGCAGCAGUGGGGAAGUAUUGCGCAAUGGGGGAAACCCCGUGACGCAGCCACGCCGCGUGGGUGAUGAAGGCCUCGGUUG
RNAcentral lists this ribosomal RNA (396 nucleotides) under uncultured bacterium. RNAcentral's name for it is "bacterial SSU rRNA". It matches the Rfam family "Bacterial small subunit ribosomal RNA", at positions 29 to 425 of the family's 1533-position model. The record is from RNAcentral.